UCGAGCAUCUGAAAUAAAUUUAUUUCCGUUGAUAGUUUGUACAAAAAUGUUUCUCUGGAUAUGCAAAUUAGUAUAUACUAGUCAUCGACCCGUGCAUGGCCGGUUUUCUAACAUUUUCUUUCUAUAUAAAUUAUGGAAAAAAUGUGCUUUCUGAUAUGAAGAACUAUACUUGAGAUGUGUGUGAAGCAUAUACGUUUAUGCACACUGAUAUUGGAAAAAUUAAGUAUGCAAAUAAUUCAAUCAAAAUCAUCAUAUAUUAAGUUUUCAGAUAACAAAGUGUCACAUUAUAUUGGACAAAGUUCAUUACAUGAAGAUCCAAUUAUCCAUGAAGACUUUCCCUAAGAAUAUGUUUGUUGGUCUCAUUUGGGAAGGAUGUAGAGCCACCAAAUACAUUGCUUAGUUUCUUAUACAUAGGUGUGACCUUUUAUGUGGGUGACCAUUUAAAAUAUGUUUAAAGAGCAUAAAAUUUGGUUAGUGGAGCAAUUUGAUCUCCAUCUCCAUAAAUAUUUGUUAUCUAUGCUGGUAUAUCUUGACUGAAAUAUGAUAAUGCUCGCUCAAAACGUAGUCGCUGCUUGGGAGAGCAAGGCGCAACUACGUAAUUAAGGUUACAUGUUGAUGUGGCUGUAAUUAGUUAGGCCAGGAUUAACGUCUACCUCUCCCUAUAGUUGAAUUUAGGGUGGGGUUGGAGAGAAUUUAGGAAGGUUACAUAAGUCGGUUAUGUUGAUUUACCUAGUUGUAGCAUUUUCACUUUCAAGUGCAAAAAAAUGCAUCAUAGUUGUUGUGGGAAUGCUUCUAUCGAGUCAAGAUAAAAUAGUGGUAUUUAGAAAUAUCAGACUAAGUAACCAUACAACAUGAUACCAAUAAUAGGAAUGAUUAUGUUCUACCUUAAUGCAACGGAAUAAACGUGGAGUAUAGUUUGCUGCUGGUUUUACUUUUCCAAUAGGGACAGGAAAAGGCCGUAUUUAGAGGUGUAGAUAGAUUGAGAUGAGCAUUUUUCCCUUUUAUUUUUCCAAUCAUGAAAUAGACUUGGAGUUGUAGAUGGAUUGAGAUAGAGAUGUGAGUUUUUUUCCAUUUUAUUAUUUCAUACGUGAAAGAGAUGUGGAGUUGUAGAUAGAUUGAGAAUGAGAUGUGAGUUAUAGUGCAGCGAACUUUUAGUCAUGUCGUAUUGCGUAUAAUUUUUUUUGUCAUUUCUAAAGCACAUUUAGUAGUUAAAGUGUAGCCAACUUUUUAUUUGACCAAAGAAAAUUUAAAUUUCAAUGGAAGCAGAUCCAAUUGAUAUCAAUGCACUGUCGACCAUGGUUAAAAUCAUGCUCCCACCAAGGAUCGGUCGCCAUAAGCUUGCACCUUUACUCCCCCACUGCCUCUGUCCAUGUUAUUAGCAUUAGGGCCUCCAUUUAGGAGAAUGAGUUCUCCAUCUCAAUAGUCAUCUCAAAAGAUAAUUUACUACCAUGUUUUUGCAUAAUAAAACGACGUGCAAAGCACGUACAGAUUACUAGUAAUACAAGUAUGUAUGUAAGCCUUUCCCUUAAAAACCAAGUUUAUUAGUAUGCUCCCUCGGACAUGAGGCUAGCCUUCCAGGUAGCAAUUUUUUUAUAUUAUGUCCUGGUAAUAAAUAAUUGAUUAUCAUACCCGAUUUAAUUAAUCUUGGCAGAUGUAGCAUAUCUGAUUGCUUAGCUCCAGCUUAUAUUAUAUUUUGUGCAUUCAAAUGGUUUUCUGUCUUAUCAACAUUUUGCAAGUAGUGGUAUGGAUGAUCGUGAGUGGAUGUACACUGGCCACCCUAGUCAGGCUGGCAUGACCUUUGAGUGGGUGGCCAAGACCAAUGAAUUCAUAGAGGCAACAUUUGCUAGUGGCAAGAGAAAAACUUGGUGUCCUUGUUUGGAGUGCAAAAACCACCGAGAACAGUCAAAGAAGACGACGUGUUUACAUCUGCAGAAGUAUGGGUUUAAGCCUGGGUAUACCCAAUGGACCUUUCAUGGCGAGACCGAACAUAGCAGAGAGGAGGUGGUGCAUCAGCGCACCAACGAUAAUGGUACCGGGAUCCAUGACAUUGUAGCUGGAUUCAAUGAUGCACGUGAUGUGGGAUCAUAGGAAGAACCAGAGGAGUCUGUGAGGGCAUUCUUAGAAAUGCUGAAUUCAUCACAACAACCUCUUCAUGACUACACAGAUCAGUGCCAGCUGGAUGCCAUCAGACAAGCAAUGUCUAUGAAGACCCAGUUCAACAUGAGCAGAGAUAACUUUAAUUCAAUGAUGACCUCUUGGGGUUGCUCUCUCCCUAAAGGUCACAAACUGCCUAAAAGUUGGUACGAAGCGAAGAAAACCCUUUGUGCACUUAAGAUGUUGUAUGAGCAGAUACACACUUGCCCAAACGGAUGUGUCUUAUUUAUGAAAGAGUAUGCAGGCGACAAGUACUGUGCCAAGUGCGACUCCUGUAGGUAUAUCGAGAGAGUCCUCAGUGUACGAAGAAGCAUACCAAAUUCCCAACAAAUGUUCUUCGGUAUCUUCCAAUACUUCCAAGAAUUUAACGGCUUUACUUGAACGAAGAUACAACUGAACAAAUGGUAUGGAACAAAUAUUGGAUAAGACGUGACAAGGAUGAUCAUGGGAGACCAUGUUGAUACAUCCAUCUUGUGCCCAAGCAUGGAAGAAUUUUGAUUGAUUACAUCCCGAGAAAGCAAAAGAGGCAAGGAAUGGACGAGUCGCCAUCAGACUUGAUGGGUUCAAUCCAUUUGGUUUUUUCUAAAAGACAUAUAGUUGUUGGCCUGUGUUUGUUGUUCCCCUCAACCUCCCCCGGGCGUCCUAAUGAAAUGCAAACACAUAUUCCUAUCGUUGAUAAUACCAGGGCCCAAGUAUCUGGGGAAGAAUAUAAAUGUGUACCUCGAUCCACUAAUAGAUGACUUGAAAGAAGCUUGGGUGAAUGGGAUACAGACAUACGACGCUGCUAGAGUGGACGAUUGGUGUUCCAAAGAGUAUAGAGUGACAAAUAAAGAUUAUAGAAAACGUCGAGUCACAAUGAAGUAUUCACCACACCAUCAAGGCAACUUAGGCCUUAAGGAGUUUGGGAAACGUUGGGUAUGUCUUUCUUCCCAUCGAUUUGUUCUUCAUAAGCUUUCGUUUGUCCUACAUGCUUUCAAUCAUAGUUGUCAAUCGUUGUGACGAAAUCUUAAUCAUGUUGCUUUGGUUGCUAGCAUCUCAGCAUAAUGUUCUAGAGCCUACACUUUUCCAGGUGUACGCUUUGGCCCAUAAGGCACCGUUCAGAUCUGCAACGCCGUAAAAUGACAGUCACACAUCAUCUGCGUACACUAGCAAGGCCGCCUACGAUCGGAUGGUCACAUUUAAAAGUAUGGCAAAAAAGAUGAAAGGGCUUGAGUAUGACGUAACAUCUGAGCCCCUUGACCACAUGUUGGUUAUGAUCACUGGAGGUGGUAGGAAACAUGGCACUGAAGCGAUUGCAGGAGGCAUGUUUCCUAAUUCCUCCCUUCGCACUCUCCCCGAGUACAAAGCUCGGUUAGGUAUCCCAAAAUCUUCUAUAUGUCAAUGCAAGACUCUAGCAGUGGUUGAGAUAGAGUCCCAAUUGGAGGAGGAGAGGUGACUAGCAGAUGAGAGGUUGGAGGCAAGGUUGGCGGAGGAGAGGCGACUCGCGGAGGAGAAGAGGGCGGAAGAGAGGCGACUCGUGGAGGAGUAUAGGGUGGAGGAUAAGCGACAAGCAGGACAUGGAUCGAAUAAGGAUGUCUAUUCACAUGCACCAGGCCCAAGUGGAAAUAACCUUGGUGGUUCUCCUUAUCUUUGAGAUCGACUAAGAUUAUUUCAUCUUGUAGGUUGCCACCUGGAUGCUCAUUGGACUACGGCAUGGACAUGAAGACACUUGUUGUAGUGGCAAAUCUUAUGUAGGAUGCUUGCUUUGUUCGUUGUGUAUCAUCUUUGUUAUGUAACUAUGCUAUAUAUGCAUCUUUGUUA
This is a long non-coding RNA of Hordeum vulgare subsp. vulgare (domesticated barley), 3954 nucleotides long. RefSeq lists it as uncharacterized. The record is from RefSeq and is a predicted model, not a curated record. The transcript has 4 exons. Lineage: Eukaryota; Viridiplantae; Streptophyta; Magnoliopsida; Poales; Poaceae.